GCAUCCAGUUGCCAUCGGGCGAGCCGGGCACUCUGGAGGGACUGCCGGCGACAAGCCGGAGGAAGGUGGGGAUGACGUCAAGUCAUCAUGGCCCUUAUGUCCAGGGCGACACACGUGCUACAAUGGCCGGCACAGCGGGAAGCGGAGGGGCGACCCUGAGCGGAUCCCUUGAAAGCCGGUCCCAGUUCGGAUUGCAGUCUGCAACUCGACUGCAUGAAGUUGGAAUCGCUAGUAAUCGCGGAUCAGCCAAGCCGCGGUGAAUACGUUCCCGGGCCUU
Molecule: ribosomal RNA, 277 nt
Filed under: uncultured Thermovirga sp.
Lineage: Bacteria; Thermotogati; Synergistota; Synergistia; Synergistales; Thermovirgaceae
Description: partial 16S ribosomal RNA
Rfam family: Bacterial small subunit ribosomal RNA
Source: RNAcentral